This 73-nucleotide transfer RNA is filed under the name Apophysomyces sp. BC1034. It matches the Rfam family "tRNA". Rfam says of the family: Transfer RNA (tRNA) molecules are approximately 80 nucleotides in length. Lineage: Eukaryota; Fungi; Mucoromycota; Mucoromycetes; Mucorales; Mucoraceae. RNAcentral also lists the same sequence under 2 other names. The record is from Rfam by way of RNAcentral.
GGGGUUGUAACUUAAUUGGUAAAGUUCCCAACUUUUAAUUGGUAUUAUUAGGGUUCAAAUCCCUACAACCUCA